GCCCGGAUAGCACAGCGGUAGUGCAGCUGCCUUGUAAGCAGAAGGUCGGGGGUUCGAAUCCCUCUCUGGGCACCA
Molecule: transfer RNA, 75 nt
Filed under: Bacillus phage P59
Lineage: Duplodnaviria; Heunggongvirae; Uroviricota; Caudoviricetes; Herelleviridae
Description: tRNA-Thr
Rfam family: tRNA
About the family: Transfer RNA (tRNA) molecules are approximately 80 nucleotides in length. Their secondary structure includes four short double-helical elements and three loops (D, anti-codon, and T loops).
Source: RNAcentral